RNAcentral lists this ribosomal RNA (253 nucleotides) under uncultured bacterium. Its description in RNAcentral is "partial 16S ribosomal RNA". It matches the Rfam family "Bacterial small subunit ribosomal RNA", at positions 524 to 776 of the family's 1533-position model. The record is from RNAcentral.
UACGUAGGUGACAAGCGUUGUCCGGAUUUAUUGGGUGUAAAGCGAGCGCAGGCGGUCUUUUAAGUCUGAUGUGAAAGCCCACGGCUCAACCGUGGAAGGUCAUUGGAAACUGGAAGACUUGAAUGCAGAAGAGGAAAGUGGAAUUCCAUGUGUAGCGGUGAAAUGCGUAGAUAUAUGGAGGAACACCAGUGGCGAAGGCGACUUUCUGGUCUGUAAUUGACGCUGAGGCUCGAAAGCGUGGGGAGCGAACAGG